This 253-nucleotide ribosomal RNA is filed under the name uncultured bacterium. Its description in RNAcentral is "partial 16S ribosomal RNA". It matches the Rfam family "Bacterial small subunit ribosomal RNA", at positions 524 to 776 of the family's 1533-position model. The record is from RNAcentral.
UACAGAGGGUGCAAGCGUUAUUCGGAAUUACUGGGCGUAAAGCGUGCGUAGUCGGUUAUCUAAGUCGGGUGUGAAAUCCCCGGGCUCAACCUGGGAAUUGCAUUCGAUACUGGAUAGCUAGAGUUCGGCAGAGGGAAGCGGAAUUUCCGGUGUAGCGGUGAAAUGCGUAGAUAUCGGAAGGAACACCAGUGGCGAAAGCGGCUUCCUGGACCAGAACUGACGAUCAGGCACGAAAGCGUGGGGAGCAAACAGG